RNAcentral lists this ribosomal RNA (538 nucleotides) under uncultured bacterium. RNAcentral describes it as "partial 16S ribosomal RNA". It matches the Rfam family "Bacterial small subunit ribosomal RNA", at positions 100 to 623 of the family's 1533-position model. The record is from RNAcentral.
GGACGGGUGAGUAACGCGUAGGAAUCUGUCUUUGAGUGGGGGGCAACCCAGGGAAACUUGGGCUAAUACCGCAUAAGCCCUGAGGGGGAAAGCGGGGGAUCUUCGGACCUCGCGCUGGAAGAGGAGCCUACGUCUGAUUAGCUAGUUGGUAGGGUAAAGGCCUACCAAGGCGACGAUCGGUAGCUGGUCUGAGAGGACGACCAGCCACACUGGGACUGAGACACGGCCCAGACUCCUACGGGAGGCAGCAGUGGGGAAUUUUUCGCAAUGGGGGCAACCCUGACGAAGCAAUGCCGCGUGAAUGAAGAAGGCCUUCGGGUUGUAAAGUUCUUUCGUGGAGGACGAAAAGGUGGGUGCUAAUAUCGCCUGCUGUUGACGUGAAUCCCAAGAAGAAGCACCGGCUAACUCCGUGCCAGCAGCCGCCGGUAAUACGGGGGGGGUGCAAGCGUUAAUCGGAAACCCCUGGGGCGUAAAGGGGUGCGUAAGCGGGUGCAUUAGGGCUUGUCCUGAAAUCCCCCGGGGCUCAACCUGGGGAAUG